Molecule: long non-coding RNA, 679 nt
Organism: Apus apus (common swift)
Lineage: Eukaryota; Metazoa; Chordata; Aves; Apodiformes; Apodidae
Exons: 2
Source: RefSeq, a predicted model, not a curated record
CUCUGAUUGUCAUCUGGAAAGGCUUGGGCACAGUAACUUUGGGAGACCAUGCUUUCUGUUUCUUCUUUUUGAUUCUGAAGGCUGGUGAGCUUGAUGUUUGCAAAGCAUUUGAGAAUCUUCAGACAAAAGGUCCCACCAAACUUACCUACAACUGACACUGGAAGCAGCAUUUUCCUUGUUCAAGGGUUGUACCCCUUUUAAAUACAGUUUACUCCGAUACAUAUUUUCUAAUUUUGCCAUGGUCUCCAAGUGGGCAUUCUUCAACUCUUCGAGCCUCAAGUAAUAUUCCUGAUUUGAAUUGCACAUUUUGGAAAAGUCUAUCCACUUGUCAGAGUCCCCAUUUAGAGAGAGGGUCUGCUCUCUGUUGCUAUUUGAAUCCAAAUCAAAGCCAUCCUAGAAAAGACGUUUGUAAAAUUUUCUGUUAGAAGGGAACAAGGUUCUUAAUGUUACUUUAUCCUAAUUAAGUCUAAUGAAUGAUACAGUAAUAGCAAACAGAGAUUCCUGUAGACAAAUGUUAAUGCAGAACUACAUGGAACAAUCUCUGGGUUUCUUCUACGUGUCUCUUUGUUCUCUUUUAUGUGAUUUCCCCCCCAGUUUUUCUCAUUUCAAUUAAUAAACUACACGAUUAUUGCAUCAUUUAUAUCCUAAGGGUGCAAAUUAAAGCAUGUAAAAUUCCCAA